CAUCUCUAUAGAAACAUCUCUGAAUCCUACUGCAAUUAUUACUGGUGCUUGGCAGCCAAAAGUGGUGGAUCUGCUGUAUACCCUGAAUCAAUCAGAUGAGAGGAAAUGAAAGUACUGGGUUCAGAACAAGCAAUUUUCCAGAAAGAACAGAUGUGCACACGCACCUGUUCCGAGGUACAGGACAGUGUAAUGCUCAUCAUUGACUGCCAGGACAAUAUCUGCAACAGCG
Gambusia affinis (western mosquitofish) is the source of this 229-nucleotide long non-coding RNA. RefSeq lists it as uncharacterized. Lineage: Eukaryota; Metazoa; Chordata; Actinopteri; Cyprinodontiformes; Poeciliidae. The transcript has 3 exons. The record is from RefSeq and is a predicted model, not a curated record.